UGCUCCUAGUACGAGAGGAACGGAGUG
This 27-nucleotide unclassified non-coding RNA is filed under the name synthetic construct. Its description in RNAcentral is "RNA (27-MER) from synthetic construct (PDB 6Y0Y, chain A)". The record is from RNAcentral.